CGGCGGACGGGUGAGUAACGCGUGGGUAACCCGCCUCAUACAGGGGGAUAACAGUUGGAAACGGCUGCUAAUACCGCAUAAGCGCACAGUACCGCAUGGUACGGUGUGAAAAACUCCGGUGGUAUGAGAUGGACCCGCGUCUGAUUAGGUAGUUGGUGGGGUAACGGCCUACCAAGCCGACGAUCAGUAGCCGACCUGAGAGGGUGACCGGCCACAUUGGGACUGAGACACGGCCCAA
RNAcentral lists this ribosomal RNA (238 nucleotides) under uncultured bacterium. RNAcentral's name for it is "partial 16S ribosomal RNA". It matches the Rfam family "Bacterial small subunit ribosomal RNA", at positions 96 to 334 of the family's 1533-position model. The record is from RNAcentral.